This is a non-coding RNA of Abortiporus biennis, 90 nucleotides long. NCBI's taxonomy places the organism in Eukaryota, Fungi, Basidiomycota, Agaricomycetes, Polyporales, Podoscyphaceae. The record is from the annotation of a GenBank genome assembly.
GGCGAAAUGGCCGAGUGGUCCAAGGCGCUAGAAUCAGGCUCUGUAUAUCUAGUCCGUAAAAGGGCGUGGGUUCGAACCCCACUUUCGUCA